This 468-nucleotide ribosomal RNA is filed under the name uncultured bacterium. RNAcentral's name for it is "partial 16S ribosomal RNA". It matches the Rfam family "Bacterial small subunit ribosomal RNA", at positions 28 to 507 of the family's 1533-position model. The record is from RNAcentral.
GACGAACGCUGGCGGCGUGCUUAACACAUGCCAGUCGAACGGAAAGGCCCUGCUUUUGUGGGGUGCUCGAGUGGCGAACGGGUGAGUAACACGUGAGUAACCUGCCCUUGACUUUGGGAUAACUUCAGGAAGCUGGGGCUAAUACCGGAUAGGAGCUCCUGCUGCAUGGUGGGGGUUGGAAAGUUUCGGCGGUUGGGGAUGGACUCGCGGCUUAUCAGCUUGUUGGUGGGGUAGUGGCUUACCAAGGCUUUGACGGGUAGCCGGCCUGAGAGGGUGACCGGCCACAUUGGGACUGAGAGACGGCCCAGACUCCUACGGGAGGCAGCAGUGGGGAAUAUUGCACAAUGGGCGGAAGCCUGAUGCAGCAACGCCGCGUGCGGGAUGACGGCCUUCGGGUUGUAAACCGCUUUCGCCUGUGACGAAGCGUGAGUGACGGUAAUGGGUAAAGAAGCACCGGCUAACUACGUG